Molecule: non-coding RNA, 1000 nt
Organism: Phoenix dactylifera (date palm)
Lineage: Eukaryota; Viridiplantae; Streptophyta; Magnoliopsida; Arecales; Arecaceae
Source: RefSeq, a predicted model, not a curated record
UUUACCCCUCUCUUGUCCAUUUCCUCACCCCCCAACUCCCACCUCUCUCUCUCUCUCUCUCUCUCUCUCUCUCUCUCGGUCUCAGCUCCUGCUCAGGAAUCGUCUCCAAGGCGAGCAGGUCGAUCAUCAGUGAAGCUUCCAAGAAUUCAAGAGUCCGGUUUCAAGAAGUAAAAAGGAGGCGGCGGCGGAGAGAAUGGAGGCGUCGUCGUCGUCGGCGGCGGAGAGAAUGGAGGCGUCGUCGUCGUCGGCGGCGGCGAGAGGUCCAGGGACAGAGUCGCAAGGGCUGACGAGGCGGCCGUCGCGGAACGCGGCGACGACGACGGUCCCGACGGAGGUGUUCUACAACGAGGUGGUGCCGCCGUCGCUUGCUGGGAUCGUCCCCAUCCUCCGCGUCGCUGCCGAGAUCGAGCAAGAACGCCCUCGCGUCGCCUAUCUUUUAUCAUUAGGGACAAGCAAGCAAAGAUUAGUCAAUAUCUUCUAAGUUUUAACUGAAGGAUCUAGAAUUGUACUUCAUCAAGCAUUUUGAUCCUGCAACGAGAAUAAUAAACUCUAAGUCAUGGUCUCGGAAGCCAUCAGAAUAGGAUGUUACGACCAAUACCUUACCGCUUUGGUGUGAAAUUGGCGCCAACAUAGGUGCUGGGAUGCCAGAACCGUGUUCCAGUACAUACUGGCCAUAUUAGUUUGGACUGAUGCGCACCGGUGUGUACGAGAUUUUUUUUUUCAUUUGUUUUGAAUGUAUCAGUUUCAGUAUAUCUCCUCUAUACUUGUACCAUGCCUGUACUUUAUCAUUCCAAUAGAAAAAUGAUAGGGGGUUCAUACCACUAUUUAUAACCUUGCUAUAAGCUAAACAUAAUAUGAUUUCAUUUCUAGUCUUCUUAGAAUCCUACGUUCACAAACGUGAAGCCAUUUCUUGAGAAGUGUCUCGAUAAUUAUUUUUAUGGUAUGCGGUCUGUAAUAUUGAAGUAAACAAUUUAAUUAUAAAUUUUAUCUUCCUUUUCAA